This 1061-nucleotide long non-coding RNA is filed under the name Macaca fascicularis (crab-eating macaque). RNAcentral's name for it is "lncRNA (ENSMFAG00000058489.1)". Lineage: Eukaryota; Metazoa; Chordata; Mammalia; Primates; Cercopithecidae. The record is from RNAcentral.
GAACCCAGGAGGCUAAGGUUGCAGUGAGCCAAGAUCAUGCCACUGCACUCUGGCCUGGGCGACAAGAGCAAAACUCUGUCUCAAAAAAAUAAAAAUAAAAAAAUCACAUGGAAAAACUUCAAACCACUCUGGGGUAUGCUUAGAGUGUUCUCAUGAUACCAAGCGCCAGGCUCCCAUCUUCUUCAGUGUGUUCCUAUUUUUAUUAUUGACAGCUCCCAUCAAGGGACCUGCAGGAUGCCCUUUCGCCCAAUUAAAAAUCAUUUAUAAUGCACUAAUGAGGGAGGAAAGGGCUUACCAAGGCCAGGCUCCUUCGCUGAGGGACUCUAGGCAAUUAAAAACCUAAAUACUUUAGAGUUGCUAUAUCUAUCCAUGAUUUUGCUAGUAUCAAAUUAUGCUAAAGGCCAUUUUAAGUUUGCUGGAAAAUUAAAAAUGUGUUUGCAUUGAAGAAUAGUGUCUGUGUUUUAAUAUAUGGCUGUCUUAUUUUCAGCCUUUGAUUCUGUGUAUGUAGUCAUUCUUUUAUUGCAAACAAAGAGGAGGCAAUUAACGGGUUUUGUCACCUACGCACAACACAUGACGCUGUUAGAGUCACGUGAAGGUGGAGGAAGGAUUCAGUUUUGCUUUGAGGCCUCUCUGUACCUGUUUAGCAAAUGGCUUACAUGCUGUUUUGCUCUGAACUGGUGGCAAAGGGCUUUCUCUUCUGUGACAUCCAAGCUCUUACCUUUUCUGAAUUCACAUUCCUGGAAUAAAUACUUCACAUGUAAUAUAACAUAAUAAAUACUAACGAUGAUGAUGAUGAUGAUGAUGAUGAUGAUGAGCAAUAACCUUGCCUCCUUACAUAUCAAGCCCUUUCCAACACAGACCUCUGCCAGAAGAAUCAGACCUCAUUUUCUAGAAAAAUAUGUGUUCUUACUAUUCCCAUCUUACAGACGAAAAAACUGAAGCUGAGGCCGAGUGCGGUGGCUCAUGCCUGUAAUCCCAGCACUUUGGGAGGCCAAGGCAGGUGGAAUGCUUCAGCUAAGGAGUUCAAGAACAGCCUGGCCAACAAUGGUGAAACCCUGUCU